UUGACGGGGCCCGCACAAGCGGUGGAGCAUGUGGUUUAAUUCGACGCAACGCGAAGAACCUUACCAGGGCUUGACAUCCCCUGACCGCGUAUGAAAGUACGUUUUCACCCUCGGGUGACAGGGAGACAGGUGGUGCAUGGUUGUCGUCAGCUCGUGUCGUGAGAUGUUGGGUUAAGUCCCGCAACGAGCGCAACCCCUACGUUUAGUUGCUAACGCGUGAAGGCGAGCACUCUAGACGAACUGCCGUUGACAAAACGGAGGAAGGUGGGAUGACGUCAAAUCAUCAUGCCCCUUAUGUUCUGGGCUACACACGUGCUACAAUGGCCGGUACAGACGGACGCAAAGCCGCGAGGUGGAGCAAAUCCUAAAAAGCCGGUCUCAGUUCGGAUUGCAGGCUGCAAUUCGCCUGCAUGAAGUCGGAAUCGCUAGUAAUCGCAGGUCAGCAUACUGCGGUCGAAUACGUUCCCGGGCCUU
RNAcentral lists this ribosomal RNA (474 nucleotides) under uncultured Pelotomaculum sp. Its description in RNAcentral is "bacterial SSU rRNA". It matches the Rfam family "Bacterial small subunit ribosomal RNA", at positions 910 to 1382 of the family's 1533-position model. The record is from RNAcentral. Lineage: Bacteria; Bacillati; Bacillota; Clostridia; Eubacteriales; Desulfotomaculaceae.